This 267-nucleotide ribosomal RNA is filed under the name uncultured bacterium. RNAcentral describes it as "partial 16S ribosomal RNA". It matches the Rfam family "Bacterial small subunit ribosomal RNA", at positions 793 to 1055 of the family's 1533-position model. The record is from RNAcentral.
GUCCACGCCGUAAACGAUGAGAACUAGUUAUUGGGGGUAUUGACUCCCUCAGUGACGCAGCUAACGCAUUAAGUUCUCCGCCUGGGGAGUACGGUCGCAAGACUAAAACUCAAACAAAUUGACGGGGGCCCCGCACAAGCGGUGGAUUAUGUGGUUUAAUUCGAAGCAACGCGCAGAACCUUACCUAGGCUUGAACUCCUACGAACCUGUUUUAAUCGACGGGGUGUCCGCAAGGAAAUGUAGUGAGAGGUGCUGCAUGGCUGUCGU